Molecule: long non-coding RNA, 807 nt
Filed under: Cyanistes caeruleus (blue tit)
Lineage: Eukaryota; Metazoa; Chordata; Aves; Passeriformes; Paridae
Description: lncRNA (ENSCCEG00000017979.1)
Source: RNAcentral
GGCCCUGAAGCUGAAAGUUCUAGGGACAUUUUUUGUGAGUUUGUGUCACAGUAUUUGGAGACUAAUGAAGACAUUUAGAUAUAAAAGUAUCUUUACGAUGCAGGGAAGCACUAGGAAUGCAGUGAGUUAAGGUAGUUGGUGUAAAAAGACGAGCAGAGUUAAAGGUAGAUGUCCCAAAACACGAGGGAUCAGGUGUCCCACCAGCUUGGCAGGCAUAGAAAUGCCCUACAAGUAAACAACAGCUGAUUAGGCCUUCGGAAACUCCUUUACUUCAUACAUCUAGUGAAGAAAUGAAGUGAAAAGUUUUCCAUCCCAAGUCCAAGUUGCAAAGAAGAGCGGAUAUUUUGACUCUUAGACAAGUGUCAGUACAUUCAUCCUCAUGUGGUCAUAAAAAAGGCUAAGAAAUACGGCCACAGCUGUUGUAUGAGACAAUAGCAAUCCAAGGCAUUUGGAAAUGAGUCAGCCAAAAUAAAAAAAAAAUAUUUAUAAACAAUAUUAAUACUCCAAAAAUAGUUUCUCAUUUUCCUGCAUUGUUUCUCAGCCUGGGAAAGGGACUUAUGCUGUGUGUAUGUGCUUUUCCCACAGUAACUCUGAAUGUCUUCAUCAGCUGCUGCUGGCAACACCCUGACAAAGUAUCUGCCACCCAGAAAACCACAUACUGUAAGUGUCUGUACUUCUGACUCACAGCUGCCCUGCCCAUUUGAUAUACACUUCUGUCGUCUAAGCAGAUUUAAAUACUGUGACAGAUUGAAGGAGAAGAGUGUCGUUUCCAGAUGUGUGGCAGCGGCUGUGGAGCAGGAGAAAUGA